Molecule: ribosomal RNA, 433 nt
Filed under: uncultured bacterium
Lineage: Bacteria
Description: partial 16S ribosomal RNA
Rfam family: Bacterial small subunit ribosomal RNA
Source: RNAcentral
AACGAACGCUGGCGGCAUGCCUAACACAUGCAAGUCGAACGAGACCUUCGGGUCUAGUGGCGCACGGGUGCGUAACGCGUGGGAACCUGCCCUUAGGUUUGGAAUAACUCCCCGAAAGGGGUGCUAAUACCGGAUAAUGUCUUCGGACCAAAGAUUUAUCGCCUUUGGAUGGGCCCGCGUUGGAUUAGCUAGUUGGUAGGGUAAAAGCCUACCAAGGCGACGAUCCAUAGCUGGUCUGAGAGGAUGGUCAGCCACACUGGGACUGAGACACGGCCCAGAAUCCUACGGGAGGCAGCAGUGGGGAAUAUUGGAAAAUGGGCGAAAGCCUGAUCCCGCAAUGCCGGGUGAGUGAUGAAGGCCGUAGAGUUGUAAAGCUCUUUUACCCGGGAUGAUAAUGACAGUACCGGGAGAAUAAGCUCCGGCUAACUCCGUG